This is a long non-coding RNA of Aphis gossypii (cotton aphid), 654 nucleotides long. RefSeq lists it as uncharacterized. NCBI's taxonomy places the organism in Eukaryota, Metazoa, Arthropoda, Insecta, Hemiptera, Aphididae. The transcript is spliced from 3 exons. The record is from RefSeq and is a predicted model, not a curated record.
ACAAACACUGGCGUAGAGACAAAUCUAAAAUAAUAUUCAACGCGUUGUUUUCGUUUACGGCUACUACAUAAUAUAAUAUAAAGUGGACAAAUAUGAUAAACCUACAUAUAGUCAUCUCGUUUCGGUUUAUUUGGAUCGCCGUCGUAGUAGAUAACUCGAGACGAACCGUAUAUAUGCGAACGUCACGCUCUGGUUUUCAUUACCAAUAACGAUAUUAUGAGAUAGGGUGUACCAAACAAUGAUGUUAAGGCCGAUUGUGGUUUGUAGGUAAUAUAUGAACAUCUAAUGUGUGAUCCGCAUGAAAUUCACGAAGAGUCAUGAUAAUACAUAUUAUUGUAUAGAAGCAGGUACAACUUCGACGGGACUUAUAAGUAAUAAUAAUGUAUCACCGUAGAACGUGGAUAUGUUUUAUAUUACACAUCAUGUAAUCUAUGAUACGUAGAUCUUUCACGAACUGUGAUGAAAAGAAAAAUAAACAAUACAUUAUAUUGUACCCAUAUAAAAAGGUAAGUUGCAUUAACCUCUGGCCUAAAUUUUAGAUUCAAAAAUAAAAUAAUUUCAUCUGACAAAUUAUUAUUUUAUCAUUUUUGAGAACAUUCAAAGUAUUUUGCAGAUAAAAAGAAAAUAUAUAAAGAAUAUAAAUACUAUAAAAUA